GCAAAGUUCACAGCCCCUUUGGGCAUCGUGUCCAGGGUCCCCUAGGAGGUGGGUCUUCCAGCGUCCACGACAUGUGAGCCCAGUCCCGACUCCUUCGUGCCUUAGGGUUGGUAGUUAGAUGGGAGAGACCUCAGCGAUCACCUGAUAAUAAUACUUGUUUUAUAGUUAUAUUUAGUGAAAAUUCACAAGUGUCAGGAUUGAUGCCUUUUACUCAUUUUGUUCACCAUUUUGUUCAUGAAUUCCACCCAAUAUCUACCUGUGUAGUUGGAGUUAUUAAAUUCAUUGUUAUAUGGCAGAAUUUCCCUUUCGUAAGGCCUGACGCACACCAACUCCUGCUUUUGGGAUGAGUGAGAUUCACACGAAGCUGGGAUAACAAAAGUUUGCCUUCUGAGAAAACAAGAUGGAACCCAGUGACUGGCCACCAUGGACACAUGCAAGGGAGAAGGAGAAGUCCCCAGUAGGAAAAGGUGACACGCCUGUCCCCCUUUGUCUUCUGCCAUGAGUGGAAACUUCCUGAGGCCUCACCAGAAGCUGAGCAGAUGCUGGUACCAAACUUGUACAGCCU
Molecule: long non-coding RNA, 565 nt
Filed under: Homo sapiens (human)
Lineage: Eukaryota; Metazoa; Chordata; Mammalia; Primates; Hominidae
Description: non-protein coding lnc-HRCT1-7:1
Source: RNAcentral